This 425-nucleotide long non-coding RNA is filed under the name Olea europaea subsp. europaea. Lineage: Eukaryota; Viridiplantae; Streptophyta; Magnoliopsida; Lamiales; Oleaceae. The record is from RNAcentral.
CCCAUGCAAUUUUUAAUAGCUUGACUGGGAAUAUAUUGGACCAGGUGUUGCCGCAAAUUUCACCAGAUUUCAGGAUACUGUGCAGAUCUUUUUCUCUGUGCUAUUCUGGAUGUCUCUUUUCUUCUGGUCUUCUGCAUGGGAUGGGAAAAAUAAUGGCAGACCAAACAAGGGACCUCGAUUUCGAAAAUAAUUCUGUAAGCUCUUGUCCUGUAUAUACUGAUAGAAGCUAGAAAUACCAAGAAGAAGAUGAAGUGGUCGGAAUGGUCGUAAGACAUAUAUGCAUGAUUACAAUUUGUAUUAGUGAAUAAAGUGUAGCUUGUAAGUUUUGCCCUUCUAAUCUUUAUUUUCAAAUUGGGUGCCAAUAAAUUUUACAGUCUUUGAUUCUUCCAUAAAGUAUUGUACUUUUUGAAGUAAAAUAAAAUGAG